Molecule: ribosomal RNA, 497 nt
Filed under: uncultured bacterium
Lineage: Bacteria
Description: partial 16S ribosomal RNA
Rfam family: Bacterial small subunit ribosomal RNA
Source: RNAcentral
GAUGAACGCUGGCGGCGUGCCUAAUACAUGCAAGUCGAGCGAACAGACGAGGAGCUUGCUCCUUUGACGUUAGCGGCGGACGGGUGAGUAACACGUGGAUAACCUACCUAUAAGACUGGGAUAACUUCGGGAAACCGGAGCUAAUACCGGAUAACAUGUUGAACCGCAUGGUUCAACAGUGAAAGACGGACUUGCUGUCACUUAUAGAUGGAUCCGCGCCGCAUUAGCUAGUUGGUAAGGUAACGGCUUACCAAGGCAACGAUGCGUAGCCGACCUGAGAGGGUGACCGGCCACACUGGAACUGAGACACGGUCCAGACUCCUACGGGAGGCAGCAGUAGGGAAUCUUCCGCAAUGGGCGAAAGCCUGACGGAGCAACGCCGCGUGAGUGAAGAAGGUCUUCGGAUCGUAAAACUCUGUUAUUAGGGAAGAACAAAUGUGUAAGUAACUAUGCACGUCUUGACGGUACCUAAUCAGAAAGCCACGGCUAACUACGUG